AUUGAACGCUGGCGGCAGGCUUAACACAUGCAAGUCGAGCGGAGCGAGGGUGCUUGCACCUUAGCUUAGCGGCGGACGGGUGAGUAAUGCUUAGGAAUCUGCCUAUUAGUGGGGGACAACAUUCCGAAAGGAAUGCUAAUACCGCAUACGCCCUACGGGGGAAAGCAGGGGAUCUUCGGACCUUGCGCUAAUAGAUGAGCAUAAGUCGGAUUAGCUAGUGGGUGGGGUAAAGGCCUACCAAGGCGACGAACUGUAGCGGGUCUGAGAGGAGGAUCCGCAACACUGGGACUGAGACACGGCCCAGACUCCUACGGGAGGCAGCAGUAGGGAAUAUUGGACAAUGGGCGGAAGCCUGAGCCAGCCAUGCCGCGUGUGUGAAGAAGGCCUUUUGGUUGUAAAGCACUUUAAGCGAGGAGGAGGCUACUUAGAUUAAUACUCUGGGAUAGUGGACGUUACUCGCAGAAUAAGCACCGGCUAACUCUGUGCCAGCAGCCGCCGUAA
RNAcentral lists this ribosomal RNA (501 nucleotides) under uncultured bacterium. RNAcentral describes it as "partial 16S ribosomal RNA". It matches the Rfam family "Bacterial small subunit ribosomal RNA", at positions 30 to 523 of the family's 1533-position model. The record is from RNAcentral.